GGGUGUAAGGGUAAUCUGGCUGUAAUCUGGCAGAUGUCACCCCAUUGAACAUCAGGGUUGAUUUAGCUGAUCUGACUGGCUAGGCAGGAGUCCCUUCCUCCCUCACCACUCCAUGUGUGUUCCUCCUAAAGCUGCUCACUCAGUUGAAGAGGACAACCCACCCCCACCCCCAAUAGAGGAGGACUGGUCUUUGUUCAAGAGUAGCUAUGUUCCCUUGCUAGAACCUCCAAACAAGCUCGCAUAAAAGGCAAUUUUACAGUAAAAACAAGAGGUUAAGAAAACUGAAGUAGCUGCAUAUUGAUGACUCACACUUAUUUCAGGGGAUCAU
Unclassified non-coding RNA from Dipodomys ordii (Ord's kangaroo rat), 328 nucleotides. Its record names the gene 7SK. It matches the Rfam family "7SK RNA". Rfam says of the family: 7SK was discovered as an abundant small nuclear RNA in the mid-70s but a possible function has only recently been suggested. Two independent studies have found that 7SK RNA binds the CDK9/cyclin T complex (known as elongation factor P-TEFb). P-TEFb activates transcription by phosphorylating the C-terminal domain of RNA polymerase II. NCBI's taxonomy places the organism in Eukaryota, Metazoa, Chordata, Mammalia, Rodentia, Heteromyidae. The record is from Ensembl.